This 465-nucleotide ribosomal RNA is filed under the name uncultured bacterium. Its description in RNAcentral is "partial 16S ribosomal RNA". It matches the Rfam family "Bacterial small subunit ribosomal RNA", at positions 28 to 507 of the family's 1533-position model. The record is from RNAcentral.
GACGAACGCUGGCGGCGUGCUUAACACAUGCAAGUCGAACGGAAGGGCCCCUUUGGUGGUACUCGGAUGGUGACCGGGUAAGUAACAGGUGAGUAUCCUGAACCUGACUACGGGAUUACUACAGGUAACUGAAACUAAUGCUGGUACGGAAUCAUUGCUGCAUGGUCGGGGUUGGAAAGCUUCGGCGGUUUUGGCUGGAUCCGCGGCAUAUCGGCUUGCUGGUGGGGCUGUGGCUUACCAAGACUUCUUAGGGUAGCCGGCCUGCGAGGGCGACCGGCGACACAGAGACUGAGGGACGGCCCAGACUCCGACGGGAGGCAGCAGUGGGGAAUAUUGCACGAUGAGCGGAGGCCUGAUGCAGCAAGUCCGCGGGCGGUAUGACGGCCUUCGGGUUGUAGACCACAUUCAGCAGUAGCGAAGCUUGUGGUGACGGUACCUACAGAGGAAGCACCGGCUAACUACGUG